This 544-nucleotide ribosomal RNA is filed under the name uncultured Chlorophyta. Its description in RNAcentral is "SSU rRNA". It matches the Rfam family "Eukaryotic small subunit ribosomal RNA", at positions 598 to 1154 of the family's 1831-position model. The record is from RNAcentral. Lineage: Eukaryota; Viridiplantae; Chlorophyta.
CGUAUAUUUAAGUUGUUGCAGUUAAAAAGCUCGUAGUUGGAUUUUGGUUAAGAGGGCGCGGUCGGCCGUUUGGUCUGUACUGCGUUGUCUUGACUUCCUGAUGAGGACAUGCUCUUGGUUAACGCUGAGACAUGGAGUCAUCGUGGUUACUUUGAAAAAAUUAGAGUGUUCAAAGCGGGCUUACGCUUGAAUAUAUUAGCAUAGAAUAACACUAUAGGACUCCUGUCCUAUCUCGUUGGUCUCGGGAUGGGAGUAAUGAUUAAGAGGAACAGUUGGGGGCAUACGUAUUUCAUUGUCAGAGGUGAAAUUCUUGGAUUUAUGAAAGACGAACUUCUGCGAAAGCAUUUGCCAAGGAUGUUUUCAUUAAUCAAGAACGAAAGUUGGGGGCUCGAAGAUGAUUAGAUACCAUCCUAGUCUCAACCAUAAACGAUGCCGACUAGGGAUUGGUGGAUGUUAAUUGAUGACUUCACCAGCACCUUAUGAGAAAUCAAAGUUUUUGGGUUCCGGGGGGAGUAUGGUCGCAAGGCUGAAACUUAAAGGAAUU